RNAcentral lists this transfer RNA (72 nucleotides) under Pichia californica. RNAcentral's name for it is "Candida californica tRNA". It matches the Rfam family "tRNA". From Rfam's summary of the family: Transfer RNA (tRNA) molecules are approximately 80 nucleotides in length. The record is from Rfam by way of RNAcentral. Lineage: Eukaryota; Fungi; Ascomycota; Pichiomycetes; Pichiales; Pichiaceae.
GGGUCAAUGGUCUAGUGGUAUGAUUCUCGCUUUGGGUGCGAGAGGCCCUGGGUUCAAUUCCCAGUUGACCCC